This 301-nucleotide ribosomal RNA is filed under the name uncultured bacterium. RNAcentral describes it as "partial 16S ribosomal RNA". It matches the Rfam family "Bacterial small subunit ribosomal RNA", at positions 509 to 808 of the family's 1533-position model. The record is from RNAcentral.
CAGCAGCCGCGGAAUACGUAGGUGGCAAGCGUUGUCCGGAAUUAUUGGGCGUAAAGGGCUCGCAGGCGGUUUCUUAAGUCUGAUGUGAAAGCCCCCGGCUCAACCGGGGAGGGUCAUUGGAAACUGGGAAACUUGAGUGCAGAAGAGGAGAGUGGAAUUCCACGUGUAGCGGUGAAGUGCGUAGAGAUGUGGAGGAACACCAGUGGCGAAGGCGACUCUCUGGUCUGUAACUGACGCUGAGGAGCGAAAGCGUGGGGAGCGAACAGGAUUAGAUACCCCAGUAGUCCCUGUCUCUUAUACA